RNAcentral lists this transfer RNA (74 nucleotides) under Lachnospiraceae bacterium oral taxon 500. RNAcentral describes it as "tRNA-Arg". It matches the Rfam family "tRNA". Rfam says of the family: Transfer RNA (tRNA) molecules are approximately 80 nucleotides in length. The record is from RNAcentral. Lineage: Bacteria; Bacillati; Bacillota; Clostridia; Lachnospirales; Lachnospiraceae.
GUGUGCAUAGCUCAGCUGGAUAGAGCGUCUGGCUACGGACCAGAAGGUCGGGAGUUCGAAUCUUCUUGCACACG